Molecule: long non-coding RNA, 4459 nt
Filed under: Ananas comosus (pineapple)
Lineage: Eukaryota; Viridiplantae; Streptophyta; Magnoliopsida; Poales; Bromeliaceae
Description: long non-coding RNA (ACOM_LNC021730)
Source: RNAcentral
AUUCUCUCCCUCUUCGAUCGUCCACUCCAUCCCCAUGAACUCGCCCUAGGAUUAGGGUUUCAUCUCCUCCUCCUCCUCCUCCUCCUCCUCCUCAACACUAUCACUCUUCGAGGGCUCCUCGCAUCGGAUACCCAUGGCUAGGACAGGGAUCGAACGCCUCGUGUCCCUCUCCUUCUCCAUUUAAUCCAUUUUCCGCUUCCUUUUGGAUUAGGAAUUAACUCUACUAAUUGUUCCAUCUUUUUUUUUUUUCUCAUUAUUUUGUGAUUAGUUCGAUUCUUAGUUCUUCAGAUUCAAUUAGGUAAUAGAUUCCCCUCAUCGUUUAUAUCCUUAUGAUGAUCCAUUUCGAAUUUAGUGUUUGUUAGAGAAGUGGAUUGAAUCCGUUGUGGCAAAUGAUCGCAAAUGAUUUGAUUUGUAGUAUAUUUAUGGGAAGGUAUGUUUCUUAUUAGUUUGAUAUUACGGGAAGUUAGUAGUUGGUAUAGUGAUUAGUGCUUUAUUAGGUCAUUAUUAGGUUUAACUAGGAAACUUGUUGAGCAUGGGAUUGUUUCCCGUUUGAUUGGCGGUGACUAGCAAUUGAUUUUGUGGUUAUUUUCUUAGAGUGUAGAGGAAUUAUUUUUCCGAUUGUAAUUGAUUUUUAUUUUCUGAAACGUCAUGUUUGAACUGCAAAAAAUUGAAGCCAACUAUGAUCUUAUGCAUGCUGAUACUGGUCAGAAGGACUAUUUAGAUGUUACCUAAAGGACCGAUUGGAUAAGGAAACUGCCGAGGAAUAAUUUUAAUCAUUAUCAAGUUUGUGUGCAUGUGUAGAGGUAUUCAGGCGCGUAUGCUUGUGUAGUUUUGCAACUUAACCUCCUCAUUAACUUGUUUGACGAGCGUUUCUGAUGUGUUCUCUUUCAAUUGUUUUCGGGGACAAUCUUUUGAUUAAGAAUCAGGCUAUUAAAUAGGUUUAUAGCAUAUCUUUUUAUGAAAUCUCAAUACAACAUUGACUUUGGUUUUUCUUUUUUCUUUUAAUACUUAUCACUACUCGAGGUAGCUCCUCAGGUUGGUUCUUUAAUAUUAUUUUACUUAGUCUUUUCCUCCAAGUAUAAUUAUUUGCCUUGGCUUCAGAAGAGAACCUGAGUCAGCGUUUUUGUUUUGAUCUAUUUAAACACAUCACUAAGAGCCAAUGGACUCAUAAACAGAGUUACUUCAUUAGCAGUUGCUAUACCUUUCUCUCCUUAUUACAGAAUGAUCUAGUUACAUGGAAUUCCUCCUUGAGUAAUUUCACUUCUUAUGCUUACAAUCUUUCCUCUUCAGCAUGCUAGAUAUCUCUAUUUUUCAGAACUAAUAAUACUUGUAGUGAGAUGUAAGGGUUGUCAAAUUAUAUAGAUUGUAUUCUCUCAUGGUUACUGGAGAUGUCCCACCAUGACAUACCGGUUGUUCUUUGUCUUCCUAUUUGCUAGUUUGGCACUAAUGGAUAUAUCUUAAGAAAUUAGAGUUAGAAAUAAAAAGAUAAACAAGACACCUCUAAGAUGUGGAACUCGUAGUUUAGUUUAGUGUUGGAAUCACUAAAGGAAGGGAUAGGUAGAAAUGUUUGAUGAAUAAAGAGUUACAAGAGAAAUGUAUGUAGCAUAUGUAAUUCGUGACAAAGUAGCAGUAGAACAAUUCAAUUAAGCAACUUUUAGUGCAAUAGUAUUGUAGUAUAAAACCUUAAACAACUAAGCAUGUCCAAAAUAGAAUGAACAAAGAUGCAACACAAACAUCGAUAGUGAUUUAUCUUAUCAUCAACAUAUCCUGAAUCAGAGGAGGCCAAACCCGUAAUGCCAACAUGGCUUGACUGGGUGCACCUAUCGAAUAAAGUUGUUUUUAGUUCAUUCUAAUAUCCCCUCAUUUCUGUAUUUCAAGUAGCUUUAUUUCUGUGCCUUUGUAUAAUCUUCUGUUUUUUUUGUGGGACUGCAGAAUUCUUAAAUUUAUUGGCUUUUGAUGUAUUUCCUUUCAUCAAACCAUAUUUUCCAAGAUUGGUUAUAGAUACUGUAAUAUGCUUAUGUUCCUGUGUUAGCAUGUGCUUCUUCUCUGUUUAAUGACAUCGGUGUCUGCAUUUUUUAGCAAUUCUUUUGGGCUUCUCAUGCCGCUUAUAUCAUAUACUAGCAUUACAGCUUCUAGAUUCCUCAGUUCAUAUUCCUAUCGUUCAGUACCGAACUACAUCAUGCCAUAUCCCAUUCAUCAUAUGAUAAAGCUUUAAAUUAUGUACUCCCUUAAGUGCUAAUCUGUUUCUUUAUAAAAUAAUUAGCUACUAGAAAUUCUAGUCAUAAAAUUCUUAGCAUCCUAUGUCAUGUUUGUGUUCAUGAUCUUGUUUUAGAGGCUCUCGCAUACAACAUGGCACCACCACAUGGGAAAGGGCAUCACAUGGGGCCUUCACAUCACCACAUGAUGUUGUGUUGUCUUUAGUUAUUCUAUUCCUUUUAAUGCUAGCUAAGAAUAGGAUGUUCUCUACACUUCCUUUGGUGAGAUACUAAUGUCUCCGAAAUGCUUUGUGAGUGCCCAUGCAUGACUAAGUGGUCAAAGUGCAUUAGUUGUUCCCACGCUUUCAGCAAUUAGGAAGCCCCAAAAAAAGAAAGAUGCAGAUGCAGUGUUGCUUAAUUUCGAGCCCUUUUUCGAGCCGAAGGUCAUGACCUUGACAUGUUUGCGUUUUUAAUGUUUGGAAUUACAGUUGUAAGGAUAUUGUAGGUAAAGCUUGGGUUUAUCUUCGUCGCGUCCGAAUGUCUUUUUAGAAAAAAUUACGGUAGGUUGGCAUUAAAGAUGGAGGAGGAUUCGUCAGAGUUUUAAUGUAUUUUAUAACUAAUGGUUGAUUUACUGGCUAAGCCACACUCAGGGUGUUCUUGUCGGUGAGUUAGCUUGUCCAUUGCAGUUUGAUCUCCCUAAAUUUGUUUUCUAGACACUCAGAAAGUGUGGAUAUAUAUUAUUAGUUUCACCAGAGUUUUUGCUUCUAUUGCUAAGAUACCCAAUAGAAAGAGUCUAGUGCUUGCUGUGUUGUGUUUUGUUUUGUUUUUUUAUUUAAUGGUUUUAGCUGCAGUCAUCUCUGUGUAGAUUGUCUGGUAAAGCUUUUGCUUCCAAUGCUGUUUGCAUCGUCGUGUUUCUGAGCUGAGCCAGCGGGCGUAUUCCGGCUUAUUUUUAUAUCUGUUUUUAGCUGCAGUCAUCUCUAACAAAUUAUAUGAUAACAGGAAAGUUUAAUGCGAUUACUAUGAUUUGAAGUAUGAGAUUUGCAGUGUAGAAAAGUAGUUUUCUUUUAUUGUGCAGAUUAAAUGUUGGAGAAUUUUGAUUAAAAUUCCUUUGAGGAUUCUUUAAGCAAACAACUACAUAAAUAAUACCCCAUCAAAGUCUCUUUUUUUUUUUCAGCCUUUUCUCUUUUUUUUUCUAGGCCUAAUUGUUUCACCCUUGUAGAUAAGUUUAUUAUACAAGUUUAUUUCUCUUAUCGAACGAAGUAUGUAAUUUGCUUUUUUUUUUUAUUUUAGGAAAAAAAAUCCUAUUCUUAUGUGUGGAGUUGAUUUAAAUUUUUUCCGGUAACUGUUUUUUUAUGACCUCUUCAGUUGUUACUAUCUCAUGUCAUUUGUGACAUUGCCCCUCGCUGUGCGACAGCGAAGUGCCCCGGGUAACCUAAUUGUCCGAGUCGUGCUCGUGCCCGAACUUUUGCCACGUCGGACCACCAAUCCUAGUCCAGUGCACCGGCCCGGGUCACGAGAAAACGUCGAAUCCCCGAGCCGUGCUUCGCUGAGACUCUGCGGUAUCCUCACCGCCCAAAGUAACGUCACCGCGUCCGGCCCAUGAGGUGUCAUUGCCUCACCGCACGGUAACCUUAUCUCCCGGAACAGAGUCCCGUAGAAGAAAACUUGGCGGGAGGUACCCCUAUUUUUUUUUUUUUUUAGAUAUUAUUGCGCAACACCGUGUGUCGACUCAUCUUCCGAACCCUCUCAUGCAUCCACACUUCGUGGGGCCCACCUUUGUUUAGAGCGGGUCACUUACUGGGUGCAAUUAAACCGCGGUCCCUUUGUCCCUCGGUCGAAAAGAUAUUUUUCCCGCGCUCCUUUGCCAGCUGUCGUGUUUUCACGUUACCGCCCAUCCGGUGGGCCCCACACUUUUCCCUCGAGAGGAAAAAAUAAUCAGAGAGAAAGAAAUUAUGGGGCGGGGGGAUUUUAUUUGGCUUGGGAAAAUAAUGCACGAGUCAUGCGCCCGCCCCAAAUUCACGCGAAACCCAAAUGAAAUUGAAGAAAAAAAANAGUGCAUCUAUGUGGCUCAGAGAUCGAGUAUUUAUACAGUAUUUAUGGAUAUACAAGAAAUAGAAGGAAAAGGAAAAAGGGGAAAAGAAAUAAAAAUAAUAAUAAAAACAAAAAAGAAGGGAGGGAGUUUCCGUUGCGGUUGUGGCGCGGAUGGGCGCCACGUGUGACGAGGCCCGAAAUCGUCGCCGUCCGUGACAAGUGUGCCGGUCGCG